GGACUACUGGGGUAUCUAAUCCUGUUUGCUACCCACGCUUUCGCUCCUCAGCGUCAGUUUCGGCCCAGAGUGGCGCCUUCGCCACCGGUGUUCCUUCUAAUAUCUGCGCAUUUCACCGCUACACUAGAAAUUCCCCACUCCCCUACCGAACUCAAGUCACAGCAGUAUCGGGUGGCAUCUCCGGGUUAAGCCCAGAGUUUUCACACCCGACUAACUGAACCGCCUACGAGCUCUUUACGCCCAAUAAAUCCGGACAACGCUUGGUGCCUACGUGUUACCGCGGCUGCUGGCC
Molecule: ribosomal RNA, 292 nt
Filed under: uncultured bacterium
Lineage: Bacteria
Description: partial 16S ribosomal RNA
Source: RNAcentral